UUAAAGUUUGAUCCUUGCUUUUUUCUUUAUUAUAAGAAUAACGUUACAUGAAAGUUAAUGCGAGAGUAAUUUAAAAAUAAAUUUUUAUUAUUAAUUCUCAGUAUAUAAUUUUGGAAUUAAGUUAAAACUUGAUCCAGUAAUUCUUUAAUUUCAGGCUAAAUUUGUGCCAGCAGCCGCGGUUAGACUAAAAAGUGAAAAUAAAGACCAAAAGAUAUUAGUUAAAAAUAGAGAUUUUAAAAACUUAGGGUCAUGAGUUUAAAGAGUGAAAUCUAUAUAUUUAUUAGUGAUGUGUUGUUUUUGAAAUUUUUUUUAAAACUAUCGAAAUUUAGAUCUAAACCAGGAUUAGAUACCCUGUUAUACUAAAAUGAAACAUAAUUACACUUGAGUAGUAAAAAGUUAUGAUCUCGAAACUUAAAGGAUUUGGCGGUAUUUAAUUCUAGUUAGAGGAACCUGCUCUGUAAACGAUAUGCCACGAAUUAUCUUACUUUACUUAGUAUCCAGUUUGUAUACCUCCAUUACAAGUAAUAUUUUUAAAUAUUUUCUGAGAUAGAAAGUUUCUAGUAUAUUAGGUCAAGGUGCAGCCAAUGGUAAAGUAGCUGUGGGUUACAAUAUGUUAUACAUUUGUGGAUAAGUGUUAUGAAAUUAUACUUUGAAAUUGGAUUUAAUUGUAUUCUUAAAAUAAUAAGUUAAGAUGAUAAUAGCUCUAAAAUAUGUACACAUCGCCCGUCGCUCUCAUUAUAAGGUGAGAUAAGUCGUAACAUAGUGGUUGUAUUGGAAGAUGCAUCUGGAAGUAU
This 794-nucleotide non-coding RNA is filed under the name Palaemon modestus. The record is from RNAcentral. Lineage: Eukaryota; Metazoa; Arthropoda; Malacostraca; Decapoda; Palaemonidae.